This 1850-nucleotide unclassified non-coding RNA is filed under the name Leishmania donovani. Its description in RNAcentral is "gene:LdHU3.36.9350(CDS-product:hypothetical_prote in_conserved)". The record is from RNAcentral. Lineage: Eukaryota; Euglenozoa; Kinetoplastea; Trypanosomatida; Trypanosomatidae.
GAACGGGCACACACCCAUAGAAAAGCGCAUUCAUACCGACGGCGCCUCUGCCGUGACAUCCGCGCUACACCAGUGAUCGAAAGAAACCUCGAUUGGCAGAAGCGGGCGGCGGGCGGGGGUAUGCUUGUCAGCGAGUGUCCUGAGGCGCCAGCGAAGAACGUAUUGGAGCGUCGACCCUGCGAAGGCAGUCACUCAUUGAUAGAGAAGCUUACACGCUUACGCUCUGGAAAACACACUUGUAAGCGCACAGUCGGCUAUGGCGGAUCUUCGUGACGAGCUGGACGCCACGGUGCUCUUCGGCUCCGGAUAUGUGUGCGUUGUUGGCCCGCCGAGCAGUGGCAAGACUACCCUAAUCCUGGAGUAUCUGGUGGCGCGUGAGCGACAGGCCGUCCACAGUGGCGACGGCGACGCGGCACCCUUCUGCAUGGAGUAUGUGAGUGCGCGCAGUGCGCCGCAUGGGCUUCUGAGGCACUUGACACAUCGCCUGCUUCCCAAUGCCCGGCGACGGCGUCUCAGCUACGAGUGCAGCCCGUUGGAGUUCGGCGCGUCGCUCGUCGAGUGGGUGGAGGCGCACACAGGACAGUCGGAGCUGCACCUUGUCGUCGACGACGCCGACGCGUUGGAGUACAGUACAGAAGAGAUGAAUCUGUGGCUCUCACACUAUUUGCGCACUCCUGCCGAGCAGCGUUGCAUUGUUAUUUUGUGGUUGAUAUCGGAGCUGCCGUUGCGCCUGUCUAACUGCUUCCGGUACCACUUCAUUGCUCGACCGGAGGCGAAGAGCAUCGUGCAGUGGCUGCGCCAUCAGUUCGAAGAGCAGCGGCGACUCCUAGCUGGCCCCGAGUCGGAGGAGGACGACUCGGAACACACGGUGGACGCUGCCCUGACGACCACACUGAGUGCCGAUGAAGUGAACCGUGCCGUACUGGAUGCGUUCACUUAUUACGCGACGCAUCAGCCUAUGUGCUCUUCCGUUGUGAGCCGCGACGUUCGUCUGCUGGUUCAACGCGUGUACCAGAUCCUCCCGCCGCUGUUGCUGGAGGUGGCGGCGGCCGCAUCAGCGGUGCCAGGGAAGUCUGGAGAGGCGGCGGUAUCUGCGUCCACCACUACCGACGCAGUCAAGAGGCUGAAUGCACGCCACUUCGCCGCAGCCUGGAGCCAGUAUCGGAGCGAUGGUGGUGGUGGCAACUCAUCGGCGAUGGCUGUAUCUGGCGCCGCGGCGUCCGCGCAGAGCACGCUCGUGAUGGCCCUCAAGCGGCUGGGAUAUUCGGCGGUGCUCCUUGCCUUCGCCGCCUUCUACGGUGGGGCCGUGCCGAAACGCCAGCAGCACCAGGUGUUUGGUUGCAUGGGGAGUGGCGAGCGCCAGCCGCCCCUGUAUGAGGCGAAAGGUCAAUCGCACAAAGCCGCCGUUCUCUCCGCCUCUGCCCACGUCGUGACGUUACGCCGACUUAGUUUUCUUUACGACGCGAUGCUGAGAAUGUGUACGCCGUACAUUGACCCGCUCGAGUUUACAACGGCGGACGUGGCUCUGCAGUACGUGCAGGGCUUCGUUGCUUGGGGUUUGCUCACGCCAGUCGUCUCGCAGCGACACCGCUCUUACCACUGCUGGAUCCCGGUAAGCACUGCCCAGCAGCUGGCGCGUGAACUCUCACUGAGCCUGUUUGACCUCAUCCCCACCUGACGACUUGGAGUGGCAUGUUUCUGCUGUUUCUUUCCUUACUUGCCUGCCGCGCUGCCAUCCGUGCGGGUACGUCGGCGCCCUGAAAAGGGGGGCAGCUCACAUCCCAGAUGUUGUAUUCGCGCACUGGUGCAACUCUCUCUCUCUCUGCUUCACACGCAGGCUAACGAAAAAG